GGGAUCGAUGCGAGGGUGUGCCCCGUUGUUCUCCAUACCGUUUGACAAACACACAACAGUAAUGGGAGGGAGUGAUAGAGAAAGAUAGAUAGAUAGAGAGAGAGCGAGAGAUUUAGGUAUACGUGACGUGGCUCCAACUCCACGUGGUCGCUCGGUGACGUCACAGGGCCACGCAGGGCAAAAACUAGCCCAUUCACUUCGCUCAGCACUUAUGUGUCGCACCCUUUUCCUCCGUCAGAAGCCUACCAUGAUCCCUCAUCUAGAAAUCUCUGCAAGAGGAGGAAUUGUGGCACAUCGAGAUCGAAGGUCUCGUGGUAUCAGUGAUCUUCCAAUGUCACAUUCGCCCUAUUUUAUACUCCUUCGAAUUUCCGUUUUCCAGUUCAGCCGUGACUAGGAAGAUAUGCCUUAUGGAGAUGAAGACCGAUCGUCACCGUAAAACUAGUGCUCUGCAAGCUGAAGGAAUCUGAGAGUCGAAGAUGAAUAGAAUUGUAUUGGGAAGGAGAAAAUAAGUAAGAUAAUGGUCUUGAAGUUUUACGAAGAGGAAGAAGACUUCAGAGGAAGAAUUGGACGAGUGGGCCACCGAGUGAGUCUGUGCUCCUUGCGUUCACUGCGGGCUUCCAUGUGCCAAAAUUUCAAAAUUCAUAAGGCACGCGGUGAAUGCCAAGAGCGGACAUAAUUCAGCACUGCGUCGUUGUGCCGGCAAAACAUCGAACGAGCGUUGAACCCCCGUAUGUGAUAUGAAAAAACCUAAAACGAUAUUAUUAUCAUUACACAAUAGCUGAGUUAUCACUGUAAAAUUAAUCAUUUUUAUUUGAUUCUAUUUUACGUAGAGAUAGUUGAAUGGAUUAUACGCAAUAGAUUACAUAGAUCAGUAAUUGGCUCCGUUUGAUGAAAUAGUUGAACCUGAAUCCGAACCUUAACCAACUAGCCCGAACGUACUUUGUAUAUAAUGACUCUCUGUAAUAAACUAUCUUCGGUGAACUAUAAA
This is a long non-coding RNA of Neodiprion virginianus, 988 nucleotides long. RefSeq lists it as uncharacterized. Lineage: Eukaryota; Metazoa; Arthropoda; Insecta; Hymenoptera; Diprionidae. The transcript is spliced from 2 exons. The record is from RefSeq and is a predicted model, not a curated record.